RNAcentral lists this ribosomal RNA (253 nucleotides) under uncultured bacterium. RNAcentral describes it as "partial 16S ribosomal RNA". It matches the Rfam family "Bacterial small subunit ribosomal RNA", at positions 524 to 776 of the family's 1533-position model. The record is from RNAcentral.
UACGUAGGAUCCAAGCGUUGUCCGGAUUUACUGGGUGUAAAGGGUGCGCAGGCGGGCUCAUAAGUCAGGAGUGAAAUCUCGGCGCUCAACGCCGAAACGUCUUUUGAUACUAUGAGCCUUGAAUCAGCGAGAGAUGUGCGGAAUUCCGAGUGUAGCAGUGAAAUGUGUAGAUAUUCGGAAGAACACCAGUGGCGAAGGCAGCACGUUGGCGCUCGAUUGACGCUCAGGCACGAAAGCAUGGGGAUCAAACAGG